RNAcentral lists this unclassified non-coding RNA (253 nucleotides) under uncultured Enterobacteriaceae bacterium. Its description in RNAcentral is "contains 16S-23S intergenic spacer region". It matches the Rfam family "Bacterial small subunit ribosomal RNA", at positions 524 to 776 of the family's 1533-position model. Lineage: Bacteria; Pseudomonadati; Pseudomonadota; Gammaproteobacteria; Enterobacterales; Enterobacteriaceae. The record is from RNAcentral.
UACGGAGGGUGCAAGCAUUGAUCGGAUUUACUGGGCGUAAAGCGCACGCAGGCGGUCUGUCAAGUCGGAUGUGAAAUCCCCGGGCUCAACCUGGGAACUGCAUCCGGAACUGUCAGGCUAGAGUGCAGGAGAGGAAGGUAGAAUUCCCGGUGUAGCGGUGAAAUGCGUAGAGAUCGGAAGGAAUACCAGUGGCGAAGGCGGCCCCCUGGCCAAAGACUGACGCUCAGGUGCGAAAGCGUGGGGAGCAAACAGG